AUUGAACGCUAGCGGGAUGCUUUACACAUGCAAGUCGAACGAGUGGCGGACGGGUGAGUAAUAUAUCGGAACGUGCCCAGUAGCGGGGGAUAACUAAUCGCAAGGGGGGCUAAUACCGCAUACCAUUGGCGGGGCCGAUAUCGGAUUAGCUAGUUGGUGGGGUAAAGGUUCAACAAGGCAACGAGCCGUAGCUGGUUUGAGAGGACGACCAUCCACACGGGGACUGAGACAGGGCCCCGACUCCUACGGGAGGCAGCAGUGGAGAAGUUUGGACAAGGGGGGAAACCCUGAUCCAGCCAUCCCGCGUGGAUAAGAAGGCCUUCGGGUUGUAAAGUACUUUUGGCGGAGAAGCGGUAUCUGCAGAAUAAGCACCGGCUAACUACGUGCCAGCAGCCGCGGUAAUAC
RNAcentral lists this ribosomal RNA (405 nucleotides) under uncultured bacterium. RNAcentral describes it as "partial 16S ribosomal RNA". It matches the Rfam family "Bacterial small subunit ribosomal RNA", at positions 30 to 526 of the family's 1533-position model. The record is from RNAcentral.